UCUCCUACGGGGGGGAGCAGUGGGGAAUAUUGCACAAUGGGCGCAAGCCUGAUGCAGCCAUGCCGCGUGUGUGAAGAAGGCCUUAGGGUUGUAAAGCACUUUCAGUGGGGAGGAAAGGUUGAAGGUUAAUACCCUUUGGCUGUGACGUUACCCACAGAAGAAGCACCGGCUAACUCCGUGCCAGCAGCCGCGGUAAUACGGAGGGUGCGAGCGUUAAUCGGAAUUACUGGGCGUAAAGCGUGCGUAGGCGGCCACCUAAGUUGGAUGUGAAAGCCCCGGGCUCAACCCGGGAACUGCAUCCAAAACUGGGUGGCUGGAGUACGGGAGAGGAGUGUGGAAUUUCUCGUGCAGG
RNAcentral lists this ribosomal RNA (352 nucleotides) under uncultured Endozoicomonas sp. Its description in RNAcentral is "bacterial SSU rRNA". It matches the Rfam family "Bacterial small subunit ribosomal RNA", at positions 335 to 679 of the family's 1533-position model. The record is from RNAcentral. Lineage: Bacteria; Pseudomonadati; Pseudomonadota; Gammaproteobacteria; Oceanospirillales; Endozoicomonadaceae.